Molecule: ribosomal RNA, 270 nt
Filed under: uncultured archaeon
Lineage: Archaea
Description: partial 16S ribosomal RNA
Rfam family: Archaeal small subunit ribosomal RNA
Source: RNAcentral
CAGCACCUCAAGUGGUCAGGAUGAUUAUUGGGCCUAAAGCAUCCGUAGCCGGCGCUGUAAGUUUUCGGUUAAAUCUGUACGCUCAACGUACAGGCUGCCGGGAAUACUGCAGCGCUAGGGAGUGGGAGAGGUAGACGGUACUCGGUAGGAAGGGGUAAAAUCCUUUGAUCUAUUGAUGACCACCUGUGGCGAAGGCGGUCUACCAGAACACGUCCGACGGUGAGGGAUGAAAGAUGGGGGAGCAAAACGGAUUAGAGACCCGAGUAGUCC